UACGGGGGGGGCAAGCGUUGUUCGGAAUUACUGGGCGUAAAGGGCUCGUAGGCGGCCAACUAAGUCACACGUGAAAUCCCUCGGCUCAACCGGGGAACUGCGUGUGAGACUGGAUGGCUUGAGUUUGGGAGAGGAAUGCGGAAUUCCAGGUGUAGCGGUGAAAUGCGCAGAUAUCAGGAGGAACACCGGCGGCGAAGGCGGCACUCUGGGCCGGUACUGACGCUGAGGAGCGAAAGCGUGGGUAGCAAACAGG
This 253-nucleotide ribosomal RNA is filed under the name uncultured bacterium. RNAcentral's name for it is "partial 16S ribosomal RNA". It matches the Rfam family "Bacterial small subunit ribosomal RNA", at positions 524 to 776 of the family's 1533-position model. The record is from RNAcentral.